This 465-nucleotide ribosomal RNA is filed under the name uncultured bacterium. Its description in RNAcentral is "partial 16S ribosomal RNA". It matches the Rfam family "Bacterial small subunit ribosomal RNA", at positions 339 to 795 of the family's 1533-position model. The record is from RNAcentral.
CUACGGGGUGCUGCAGUGAGGAAUUUUGCGCAAUGGGGGAAACCCUGACGCAGCAACGCCGCGUGAGUGAUGAAGGCCUUCGGGUCGUAAAGCUCUGUCAAGUGGGAAGAACCUAUCGAUAUUGAAAAUAUAUUGAUACUGACGGUACCACAAGAGGAAGCACCGGCUAACUCCGUGCCAGCAGCCGCGGUAAUACGGGGGGUGCAAGCGUUAUUCGGAAUCAUUGGGCGUAAAGGGCGCGCAGGCGGCCUUGUAAGUCAGAUGUGAAAGCCCGGGGCUCAACCCCGGAAGUGCAUUUGAAACUAUGAGGCUUGAGUAUGGGAGAGGGAAGUGGAAUUCCUGGUGUAGCGGUGAAAUGCGUAGAUAUCAGGAGGAACACCGGUGGCGAAGGCGACUUCCUGGACCAAUACUGACGCUGAGGCGCGAAGGCGUGGGGAGCAAACAGGAUUAGAUACCCUAGUAGUC